Caenorhabditis elegans is the source of this 21-nucleotide non-coding RNA. Lineage: Eukaryota; Metazoa; Nematoda; Chromadorea; Rhabditida; Rhabditidae. The record is from Ensembl.
UUGGUAUGUGUGAUUCAAACA